UAAAUAAUAUUCUUUGCCUUAUUUCAUUUUAUUACCAUCAUAUUAAAGUACAAAUCCAUAACUAGAACUUUAACGAUACUAAAAGAGAAUAAUUAAAAUCACUGGAUGUCAACAUAAUAAUUAAAUAAUACUUCUUCCAUCCCAAAAGGUAAGGAAAAAUGGAUCAACAUAAAUUAAUGUAUAUGGUACAAAUUUUGAACCAAAUACAUUAAAUUUUGUUGAUCAAUUUUUACUUAUAUUUUAGAUCAGAGGGAGCAUCUCAUGAAAUAUUCUAGAAUGGUGUUUGCAUAAUAUCUUUGGUCAUACACUAGAUGCAGACUCAUGUGGGAACAACAUUUAUUGGUUCCAAGAUUUUAAUGCAUUUACAUGUUUCCUUUAUACACCUCACAACAAGAUCAACUGGGCACAACCAAGAAUUUCUUACACAUUCCCAAUCGGUAAAACAUUUUCCCUUCUCAAGAAUUUCGACCCCAUCGGUAACACAUUUGUGCUUCUCAAGAAUUUUCGUUGAAACUAGAAAUGUUGAAAGAAAGAUAAUCAUAAGAUAAACAAACUU
This 556-nucleotide long non-coding RNA is filed under the name Medicago truncatula (barrel medic). RNAcentral describes it as "lncRNA gene16683". Lineage: Eukaryota; Viridiplantae; Streptophyta; Magnoliopsida; Fabales; Fabaceae. The record is from RNAcentral.